This 465-nucleotide ribosomal RNA is filed under the name uncultured bacterium. RNAcentral describes it as "partial 16S ribosomal RNA". It matches the Rfam family "Bacterial small subunit ribosomal RNA", at positions 28 to 507 of the family's 1533-position model. The record is from RNAcentral.
GAUGAACGCUGGCGGCGUGCUUAACACAUGCAAGUCGAACGGAAAGGCCCAAGCUUGCUUGGGUACUCGAGUGGCGAACGGGUGAGUAACACGUGGGUGAUCUGCCCUGCACUUCGGGAUAAGCCUGGGAAACUGGGUCUAAUACCGGAUAGGACCACAUUUUGGAUGGGGUGGUGGAAAGUUUUUCGGUGUGGGAUGAGCUCGCGGCCUAUCAGCUUGUUGGUGGGGUAAUGGCCUACCAAGGCGUCGACGGGUAGCCGGCCUGAGAGGGUGUACGGCCACAUUGGGACUGAGAUACGGCCCAGACUCCUACGGGAGGCAGCAGUGGGGAAUAUUGCACAAUGGGCGCAAGCCUGAUGCAGCGACGCCGCGUGGGGGAUGACGGCCUUCGGGUUGUAAACUCCUUUCGCUAGGGACGAAGCGCAAGUGACGGUACCUGGAGAAGAAGCACCGGCUAACUACGUG